GCCGCACUAGCAGAAUUGGUUAAUGCACAUCUCUUGUAAAGAUGAGAUUCUUGGUUCGAUCCCAAGGUGCGGCACCA
Molecule: transfer RNA, 77 nt
Filed under: Caudoviricetes sp.
Lineage: Duplodnaviria; Heunggongvirae; Uroviricota; Caudoviricetes
Description: tRNA-Thr
Rfam family: tRNA
About the family: Transfer RNA (tRNA) molecules are approximately 80 nucleotides in length. Their secondary structure includes four short double-helical elements and three loops (D, anti-codon, and T loops).
Source: RNAcentral